RNAcentral lists this ribosomal RNA (552 nucleotides) under uncultured archaeon. Its description in RNAcentral is "bacterial SSU rRNA". It matches the Rfam family "Archaeal small subunit ribosomal RNA", at positions 325 to 879 of the family's 1478-position model. The record is from RNAcentral.
ACGGGGUGCAGCAGGCGCGAAAACUUUGCAAUACACGAAAGUGUGACAGGGCUAUCCCGAGUGCCAUCCGCUGAGGAAGGCUUUUACCCAGUCUAGAAAGCUGGGGGAAUAAGGAGAGGGCAAGUCUGGUGUCAGCCGCCGCGGUAAUACCAGCUCUCCGAGUGGUGUGGAUGUUUAUUGGGCCUAAAGCAUCCGUAGCUGGCUAAGUCAGUCCCUUGUUAAAUCCACCGAAUUAAUCGUUGGAUUGCGGGGGAUACUGCUUGGCUAGGGGACGAGAGAGGCAGACGGUAUUUCCGGGGUAGGGGUGAAAUCCUAUAAUCCCGGGAAGACCACCAGUGGCGAAGGCUGUCUGCUAGAACGCGCCCGACGGUGAGGGAUGAAAGCUGGGGGAGCGAACCGGAUUAGAUACCCGGGUAGUCCCAGCUGUAAACGAUGCAGGCUAAGUGUUUGGACGGCCACGUGCCGUUCUAGUGCCGCAGGGAAGCUGUUAAGCCUGCCGCCUGGGGAGUACGAUCGCAAGAUUGAAACUUAAAGGAAUUGGCGGGGGAGCAC